This 70-nucleotide transfer RNA is filed under the name Listeria monocytogenes. RNAcentral's name for it is "tRNA-Glu". It matches the Rfam family "tRNA". From Rfam's summary of the family: Transfer RNA (tRNA) molecules are approximately 80 nucleotides in length. Their secondary structure includes four short double-helical elements and three loops (D, anti-codon, and T loops). The record is from RNAcentral. Lineage: Bacteria; Bacillati; Bacillota; Bacilli; Caryophanales; Listeriaceae.
GGCCCGUUGGUCAAGCGGUUAAGACACCGCCCUUUCACGGCGGUAACACGGGUUCGAAUCCCGUACGGGU